GUGUCAGUCCCAUGUGUCAGCACAGCUGAGGAUCUUGGGAGACACAGAAGGACGCUUGCACCAAGGUGGCAUUCAUUUUUUUUUUUUUUUUUAAGAACAACUUUCCUUCCACCUAAUCCAAAGAACGGUGCAUCUCAACUGCUCUGUUUCCUUCUUGAGGAAGCAUGAUGACAUCAGCUUCGCCAAAGUUCUUCCUGUGAUGAGACGGCAGAGAUUGUCCUAAAUAUCGGGAAAAUGGAGGACACACUCAGGGUUUUUCUUCUCCCUGACAUCUUCACUGUGUUUACGUUUGCGUCCAGGCAUCGUGUGCGUGGGACCCGGUGGGCGCGUAAGGAGCCCGCGGGACCACGUCCACAUCCUUCCCGCCCGCGGGUGGCCGGUGCAUCCCCGACGCCCACCAGGACCAGAAGGCCCCGCGGGAGGACUUGGCUGGUGACCGCGUGGCAGGAGACUGUCACGGCUGAAAGAAGCUACCGGCACCGGAAGCCCAGCGUGCUCCCUGUGGACCCAGUUUCCGGGGCCGUGAUCCCCAGCUACAUGUGGCCAGCGGAAGGGCUCGGCUUGCAGUCCAAUGAGGGUGAUUCUUAAGAUUCAGACUUUCGAGGGGGAGAGACCAGGGUCUCUCUGUUCCAUGCCCUGGUCGGUGACCUGAGGAGAGCUACCGAGCUCCUUACGGCUCAGCACCCUUCUCCCCGAAGCGCAGACCUAACGGCACUUCCCGUGAGGUGGGGAGUGGUUGGCAGGGAACCGAGUUGGUGAAGACACGGAUUUGGAGUAAAACCAGGCUUCCGCCCUCCUCCCUAUGGCCCCUUUCACUAGGAUGCUCCCUCACACACACACGUGCACACACAUGCCAGCACACCCGUAAAAGCAAUGGAAGUGGAGAACUGCCCAAAGUCAAGAGCGGGAGAGGCCCGGAUCCUACUGCGUGAUACUCAGCCCACUCCAUGCCCCCCUCUGCUCUGGGCCCCGGGCUCCGGGCGCCCCUUCCCCAUCUCUCCCUGAACGUGUCCCCUGUCGUGUCCCCAGCAGGGCAACUCCAUAGCGUCUGACGAACAGUCUGCCUUGGUCUCCUGGCCUUUCCCACAUGCGGCUUCAUGGCAGUCCGAGGGGGGAAACCGUCUGCAGACCCCCGUGGGAAGCGGGGAGGGGGCCUUUCGCUUGUUUGUGCCGAACCCUGACUGCCACGCUAAAUGCAAAUGUCCUUUCAAGUUACUGACGACCGAUGCCAAUUUCUGAGAUGGUUUCCCUAUAAAUGUAGGGGACAAUAUCCUGUGGUUUGCAAACCACGAGUUACGACUCUCCCUUUUUAUGUGUGUUGGUUGGUUUCCCGCUGCAGUGAAGGAACCAGUUUCACAGCGUGGGGCUGGGGACCCCCAGAUCACCUCUGAGAUGAACACAGUCCAGUUUCCCAAAUUCCUGGGACUAAAAAUAAUUCUAUCACAUGAAAGGGCAAUUUUUUGUAAUGACGAAAUCCGUCAUUAGGUGAAGGGUCCUCCCCGCCCCCACUCUAAAGUCUGGUAACUCCUUCGUUUGUUUGUUAAACCUUUCAUGUUAAGGGUUAAGAGAUGAUAAGAUUCCUCAUGGACAGAUGGCUAUUUUUUUUCUACGUUUCCUGUUUUUAUUUUAAUCACAGAUAGUUAUUAAGACUUGGUAUCAGAAUUGUACUUUUGAUUCCUAAUAUACGCCAAAAUACAUUUUAUCAAAUAUUUAUAGUAGAGUCAUGCAUAAAGCAUAUAACCUCGAGAACACGAACUAUCAAUUUGUACUGCUCUGGACUCCAUUUGGCGAGUUAAGGGAUUAGGAAUGAGAUUUAAGGAAAAGCCAAAGGGUACAUUUGUUUGUGAUAAAUAUUUUAAGCAUCUGUCAUAAAAUGUGGCCAACCCUGUCUGCACUUUGAUGACUGAUUUCCAUGUUUUAUCUCUCUCCCCACCCCGAGUUCUUUUUGUACAUUUUCACAGAUAACUGCCGUGAUUUUUCUUGCCCUGAAAUUUCUGGAGUUCACUUGGAGGAACUCUUUUGGAACGGUGGACUUUGGGGGGAGGGCUUGAAAAGAAAGAGCCCAACCUCCCGCCCCCGGACAAGGACUCUGCACGUGAGGCCGGAAAGGUCUAGACGUCUCACGGCAAAUCUUGCCGAUGGGCGGAACCAGGCUGGACGCAAACCCCUCUGCACACUCUGAUGGUGCCUGCUCUGCAAUUUCUGUCCCGUCUUGAUAAGGAACAGUUCUUUCUAUCAGUGCACCUGCCCGGAGGGUAUACAGUUCGACACAGGUUUCAUGCCGCAGGUCUUCUCACUUUUAGAAGGUCCACCUCAAGAUAAAGCACUUGAUUUCACCCUCGGGGUAAGCGUUGACUCCCACACAUUUAGAAUCUUCUUCUUGGCAGAUGGAGUUUCUCCUCUCGGAGGAGAGUAUUUGCAUUUUUGGAUUAGGGGGAGAUUUUGACAAACCGGAAGUCCUUUGGAUCAUAAUAAAGCAUGUUGGAAUGGUG
This is a long non-coding RNA of Neofelis nebulosa (Clouded leopard), 2492 nucleotides long. RefSeq lists it as uncharacterized. NCBI's taxonomy places the organism in Eukaryota, Metazoa, Chordata, Mammalia, Carnivora, Felidae. The transcript is spliced from 2 exons. The record is from RefSeq and is a predicted model, not a curated record.